AUUGAACGCUGGCGGCAUGCCUUACACAUGCAAGUCGAACGGCAGCAUGGAAGAGCUUGCUCUUCUGAUGGCGAGUGGCGAACGGGUGAGUAAAGCAUCGGAACGUACCGUGUAGUGGGGGAUAACGUAGCGAAAGUUACGCUAAUACCGCAUACGCACUGAGGUGGAAAGCAGGGGAUCGCAAGACCUUGCGCUAUACGAGCGGCCGAUGUCAGAUUAGCUAGUUGGUAGGGUAAAGGCCUACCAAGGCGACGAUCUGUAGCGGGUCUGAGAGGAUGAUCCGCCACACUGGGACUGAGACACGGCCCAGACUCUACGGAGGCAGCA
Molecule: ribosomal RNA, 327 nt
Filed under: uncultured bacterium
Lineage: Bacteria
Description: bacterial SSU rRNA
Rfam family: Bacterial small subunit ribosomal RNA
Source: RNAcentral